UGAGGAAUAUUGGACAAUGGACGCAAGCCUGAUCCAGCCAUGCCGCGUGCAGGAAGAAGCAUCUAUGGUGUGUAAACUGCUUUUGUACGGGAAGAAACACCCCUUCGUGAAGGAGCUUGACAGUACCGUAAGAAUAAGGAUCGGCUAACUCCGUGCCAGCAGCCGCGGUAAUACGGAGGAGCCAAGCGUUAUCCGGAAUCAUUGGGUUUAAAGGGUCCGUAGGCGGUUUAGUAAGUCAGUGGUGAAAGCCCAUCACUCAACGAUGGAACGGCCAUUGAUACUGCUAGACUUGAAUUAUUAGGAAGUAACUAGAAUAUGUAGUGUAGCGGUGAUAUGCUUAGAUAUUACAUGGAAUACCAAUUGCGAAGGCAGGUUACUACUAAUGGAUUGACGCUGAUGGACGAAAGCGUGGGGAGCGAACA
RNAcentral lists this ribosomal RNA (422 nucleotides) under uncultured bacterium. RNAcentral's name for it is "bacterial SSU rRNA". It matches the Rfam family "Bacterial small subunit ribosomal RNA", at positions 355 to 774 of the family's 1533-position model. The record is from RNAcentral.